UAACGGCAAGUGAAGCGGCAAGAGCUCAAAUUUGAAAGCUGGCCCCUUCGGGGUCCGCGUUGUAAUUUGCAGAGGAUGCUUCGGGUGCGGCCCCUGUCUAAGUGCCCUGGAACGGGCCGUCAGAGAGGGUGAGAAUCCCGUCUUGGGCAGGGUGCCCGUGCCCGUGUGAAGCUCCUUCGACGAGUCGAGUUGUUUGGGAAUGCAGCUCUAAAUGGGUGGUAAAUUUCAUCUAAAGCUAAAUACCGGCCGGAGACCGAUAGCGCACAAGUAGAGUGAUCGAAAGAUGAAAAGCACUUUGAAAAGAGAGUUAAACAGCACGUGAAAUUGUUGAAAGGGAAGCGCUUGCGACCAGACUCGGCCCCGGGGUUCAGCCAGCAUUCGUGCUGGUGUACUUCCCCGGGGGCGGGCCAGCGUCGGUUUGGGCGGCCGGUCAAAGGCCCCAGGAAUGUAUCGCCCUCCGGGGUUGUCUUAUAGCCUGGGGUGCAAUGCGGCCAGCCCGGACCGAGGAACGCGCUUCGGCACGGACGCUGGCGUAAUGGUCGCAAACGACCCGUCUUGAAACACGGACCAAGGAGUCUAACAUCUACGCGAGUGUUCGGGUGUCAAACCCGUACGCGCAGUGAAAGCGAACGGAGGUGGGAGCCCCCCCGGGGCGCACCAUCGACCGAUCCUGAUGUCUUCGGAUGGAUUUGAGUAAGAGCGUAGCUGUGGGGACCCGAAAGAUGGUGAACUAUGCCUGAAUAGGGCGAAGCCAGAGGAAACUCUGGUGGAGGCUCGCAGCGGUUCUGACGUGCAAAUCGAUCGUCAAAUUUGGGUAUAGGGGCGAAAGACUAAUCGAACCAUCUGGUAGCUGGUUCCUGCCGAAGUUUCCC
This 872-nucleotide ribosomal RNA is filed under the name Aspergillus latus. RNAcentral describes it as "LSU rRNA". It matches the Rfam family "Eukaryotic large subunit ribosomal RNA", at positions 84 to 972 of the family's 3401-position model. The record is from RNAcentral. Lineage: Eukaryota; Fungi; Ascomycota; Eurotiomycetes; Eurotiales; Aspergillaceae.